This 72-nucleotide transfer RNA is filed under the name Camelus bactrianus (Bactrian camel). It matches the Rfam family "tRNA". Rfam says of the family: Transfer RNA (tRNA) molecules are approximately 80 nucleotides in length. Their secondary structure includes four short double-helical elements and three loops (D, anti-codon, and T loops). Further hydrogen bonds mediate the characteristic L-shaped molecular structure. tRNAs have two regions of fundamental functional importance: the anti-codon, which is responsible for specific mRNA codon recognition, and the 3' end, to which the tRNAs corresponding amino acid is attached (by aminoacyl-tRNA synthetases). tRNAs cope with the degeneracy of the genetic code in two manners: having more than one tRNA (with a specific anti-codon) for a particular amino acid; and 'wobble' base-pairing, i.e. permitting non-standard base-pairing at the 3rd anti-codon position. RNAcentral also lists the same sequence under 2 other names. Lineage: Eukaryota; Metazoa; Chordata; Mammalia; Artiodactyla; Camelidae. The record is from Rfam by way of RNAcentral.
GAGGGUGUAGCUCAGUGGUAGAGUGUGUACUUAGCAAGCACAGGGGCCUGGGUUCAGUCUCUAGUACCUGCA